UACGAAGGGGGCUAGCGUUGCUCGGAAUCACUGGGCGUAAAGGGUGCGUAGGCGGGUUUUAAGUCAGAGGUGAAAUCCUGGAGCUCAACUCCAGAACUGCCUUUGAUACUGAAAGUCUUGAGUAUGGGAGAGGUGAGUGGAACUGCGAGUGUAGAGGUGAAAUUCGUAGAUAUUGGGAAGAACACCGAUGGCGAAGGCAGCCAUCUGGACCGACACUGACGCUGAGGCGCGAAAGCGUGGGGAGCAAACAGG
Molecule: ribosomal RNA, 252 nt
Filed under: uncultured bacterium
Lineage: Bacteria
Description: partial 16S ribosomal RNA
Rfam family: Bacterial small subunit ribosomal RNA
Source: RNAcentral